Molecule: ribosomal RNA, 587 nt
Filed under: uncultured bacterium
Lineage: Bacteria
Description: bacterial SSU rRNA
Rfam family: Bacterial small subunit ribosomal RNA
Source: RNAcentral
CCUACGGGAGGCAGCAGUGGGGAAUAUUGCGCAAUGGGGGAAACCCUGACGCAGCAACGCCGCGUGAGUGAGGAAGGACUUCGGUCUGUAAAGCUCUGUUAAUGUGGAAAAAUGGUAGUUGGUCUAAUAGGCCGAUUAUUUGAUGGUACACAUAGAGGAAGCACCGGCUAACUUCGUGCCAGCAGCCGCGGUAAUACGAAGGGUGCAAGCGUUGUUCGGAUUUAUUGGGCGUAAAGCGCGCGUAGGCGGACCUGUAAGUCAGAUGUGAAAUCUCGGGGCUCAACCUCGAAACUGCGUCUGAAACUGCAGGUCUAGAAUCUCGGAGGGGGAAGGGGAAUUUCGCAUGUAGGGGUAAAAUCCGUAGAUAUGCGAAGGAACACCAGAGGCGAAGGCGCCUUCCUGGACGAGUAUUGACGCUGAGGCGCGAAAGCGUGGGGAUCAAACAGGGUUAGAUACCCUGGUAGUCCACGCUGUAAACUAUGAACACUAGGUAUUGGAGGAUUUGACCCCUUCAGUGCCGUAGCUAACGCGUUAAGUGUUCCGCCUGGGAAGUACGGUCGCAAGCUAAACCUUAAAUGAAUUGACGG